This 292-nucleotide ribosomal RNA is filed under the name uncultured Geobacter sp. RNAcentral's name for it is "partial 16S ribosomal RNA". It matches the Rfam family "Bacterial small subunit ribosomal RNA", at positions 1089 to 1382 of the family's 1533-position model. Lineage: Bacteria; Pseudomonadati; Thermodesulfobacteriota; Desulfuromonadia; Geobacterales; Geobacteraceae. The record is from RNAcentral.
CAACCGAGCGCAACCCCUAUCCUCAGUUGCCAUCAUUAAGUUGGGCACUCUGUGGAGACUGCCGGUGUCAAACCGGAGGAAGGUGGGGAUGACGUCAAGUCCUCAUGGCCCUUAUGACCAGGGCUACACACGUGCUACAAUGGCCGGUACAAAGAGUUGCGAUACCGCGAGGUGGAGCUAAUCUCAUAAAGCCGGUCUCAGUUCGGAUUGGAGUCUGCAACUCGACUCCAUGAAGUUGGAAUCGCUAGUAAUCGCGGAUCAGCAUGCCGCGGUGAAUACGUUCCCGGGCCUU